UAAUACGAGAGGCCCAAACGUUAUUCGGAUUUACUGGGCUUAAAGAGUUCGUAGGCGGCGCGGAAAGUAGGGUGUGAAAGCCCUCGGCUCAACCGAGGAACUGCGCUCUAAACUGUCGUGCUUGAGGAAGCUAGAGGUGAGCGGAACUGAUGGUGGAGCGGUGAAAUGCGUUGAUAUCAUCAGGAACACCGGAGGCGAAGGCGGCUCACUGGGGCUUAUCUGACGCUGAGGAACGAAAGCCAGGGGAGCAAACGGGAUUAGAUACCCCGGUAGUCCUGGCCGUAAACGAUGAGCACUGGACCGGAGGGCUGCACAGCUUUUCGGUCGUAGCGAAAGUGGAAGUGCUCCGCCUGGGGAGUAUGGUCGCAAGGCUG
RNAcentral lists this ribosomal RNA (374 nucleotides) under uncultured bacterium. RNAcentral's name for it is "bacterial SSU rRNA". It matches the Rfam family "Bacterial small subunit ribosomal RNA", at positions 521 to 896 of the family's 1533-position model. The record is from RNAcentral.